GACGAACGCUGGCGGCGUGCUUAACACAUGCAAGUCGAACGGAAAGGCCCUGCUUUUGUGGGGUGCUCGAGUGGCGAACGGGUGAGUAACACGUGAGUAACCUGCCCUUGACUUUGGGAUAACUUCAGGAAACUGGGGCUAAUACCGGAUAGGAGCUCCUGCUGCAUGGUGGGGGUUGGAAAGUUUCGGCGGUUGGGGAUGGACUCGCGGCUUAUCAGCUUGUUGGUGGGGUAGUGGCUUACCAAGGCUUUGACGGGUAGCCGGCCUGAGAGGGUGACCGGCCACAUUGGGACUGAGAUACGGCCCAGACUCCUACGGGAGGCAGCAGUGGGGAAUAUUGCACAAUGGGCGGAAGCCUGAUGCAGCAACGCCGCGUGCGGGAUGACGGCCUUCGGGUUGUAAACCGCUUUCGCCUGUGACGAAGCGUGAGUGACGGUAAUGGGUAAAGAAGCACCGGCUAACUACGUGCCAGCAGCCGCGGUGAUACGUAGGGUGCGAGCGUUGUCCGGGUUUAUUGGGCGUAAAGGGCUCGUAGGUGGUUGAUCGCGUCGGAAGUGUAAUCUUGGGGCUUAACCCUGAGCGUGCUUUCGAUACGGGUUGACUUGAGGAAGGUAGGGGAGAAUGAAAUUCCUGGUGGAGCGGUGGAAUGCGCAGAUAUCAGGAGGAACACCAGUGGCGAAGGCGGUUCUCUGGGCCUUUCCUGACGCUGAGGAGCGAAAGCGUGGGGAGCGAACAGGCUUAGAUACCCUGGUAGUCCACGCUGUAAACGGUGGGUACUAGGUGUGGGGUCCAUUCCACGGGUUCCGUGCCGUAGCUAACGCUUUAAGUACCCCGCCUGGGGAGUACGGCCGCAAGGCUAAAACUCAAAGGAAUUGACGGGGCCCCGCACAAGCGGCGGAGCAUGCGGAUUAAUUCGAUGCAACGCGUAGAACCUUACCUGGGUUUGACAUGGAUCGGGAGUGCUCAGAGAUGGGUGUGCCUCUUUUGGGGUCGGUUCACAGGUGGUGCAUGGCUGUCGUCAGCUCGUGUCGUGAGAUGUUGGGUUAAGUCCCGCAACGAGCGCAACCCUUGUUCACUGUUGCCAGCACGUUAUGGUGGGGACUCAGUGGAGACCGCCGGGGUCAACUCGGAGGAAGGUGGGGAUGACGUCAAGUCAUCAUGCCCCUUAUGUCCAGGGCUUCACGCAUGCUACAAUGGCUGGUACAGAGAGUGGCGAGCCUGUGAGGGUGAGCGAAUCUCGGAAAGCCGGUCUCAGUUCGGAUUGGGGUCUGCAACUCGACCUCAUGAAGUCGGAGUCGCUAGUAAUCGCAGAUCAGCAACGCUGCGGUGAAUACGUUCCCGGG
RNAcentral lists this ribosomal RNA (1343 nucleotides) under uncultured bacterium. RNAcentral's name for it is "16S ribosomal RNA". It matches the Rfam family "Bacterial small subunit ribosomal RNA", at positions 28 to 1378 of the family's 1533-position model. The record is from RNAcentral.